GUGUAAUAAGGCCUUUAAAUGUUUUCAUGACAGACUUGAAUUGAUUUCCUCCUCUCUUCCGAAAGGUAUGUUCACUACAGCUUCUUCAAUGAAAGGCUCAAUGGAGAUAUCCCAGUUGAUGAGGACCAGAGGAACACCAGUCUGAGUAAGUCCAUAUUCAGGAGCAGAGAACAGAACAUCAUCUCUCCAGAAAGGUGUGUAUCAGUAUAUUCAGGAGCAGAGAACAGAACAUCAUCUCUCCAGAAAGGUGUGUAUCAGUAUA
Molecule: long non-coding RNA, 262 nt
Organism: Oncorhynchus nerka (sockeye salmon)
Lineage: Eukaryota; Metazoa; Chordata; Actinopteri; Salmoniformes; Salmonidae
Exons: 3
Source: RefSeq, a predicted model, not a curated record